UGGCGAAUGAACAGGGAAAAGCCCAACUUUAAAAUUACCUAACGGUGAAUUGUAGUUUAUAAGAGUGUAGAACUGCGCUGCCUUGCCUUAAGUCUCUUGAAAAGGAGCUACAAAGAGGGUGAAAUUCCCGUUUUGGAGCAAGUAGCAGUAUGGAACUUAACUCUAAAGAGUCAUGUUGCUUGAGAAUGCAGCAUAAAAUGGGUGGUAAAUUCCAUCUAAGGCUAAAUACUGGUAAGAGUCCGAUAGCAAACAAGUACCUUAAGGGAAAGAUGAAAGAGAACCUUGAAAAGGGUCUCAAAAGAAAGUGAAAUGGUUAUAAGGAAACCGCUUGAAACUUCUGGAAUCUAUGCACCAAUGUAUGGGGGAGCCAUCCUCUUGUCCUUGGUGUAUGGGUGGCUAUUGCUUGGGUUUAAGCUUAUAGGGGCUAGAGGGGAAGGUAAGUUGAGCUUUGGUUUAACUUCUUAAAGAUCCUUUAGUCGCUUAGAGUUUGGGCCAGGAUAGAAAGUCAUUAAGUGGCUAGCCCUUGGUUUAAAGGUUGCAAUAGACUUGUACUAGAGUGAUGUUUAAAGUGAGGCCUAGUACUGCUGAAUGCUUUAAUAGUCAAGAAGACUUAAGCGACC
This 620-nucleotide ribosomal RNA is filed under the name Zoophthora sp. Kangerlussuaq. RNAcentral's name for it is "eukaryotic LSU rRNA". It matches the Rfam family "Eukaryotic large subunit ribosomal RNA", at positions 87 to 649 of the family's 3401-position model. Lineage: Eukaryota; Fungi; Entomophthoromycota; Entomophthoromycetes; Entomophthorales; Entomophthoraceae. The record is from RNAcentral.